CCUACGGGACGCACCAGUGGGGAAUAUUGCACAAUGGGCGCAAGCCUGAUGCAGCCAUGCCGCGUGUAUGAAGAAGGCCUUCGGGUUGUAAAGUACUUUCAGCGGGGAGGAAGGUGUUGAGGUUAAUAACCUCAGCAAUUGACGUUACCCGCAGAAGAAGCACCGGCUAACUCCGUGCCAGCAGCCGCGGUAAUACGGAGGGUGCAAGCGUUAAUCGGAAUUACUGGGCGUAAAGCGCACGCAGGCGGUCUGUCAAGUCGGAUGUGAAAUCCCCGGGCUCAACCUGGGAACUGCAUUCGAAACUGGCAGGCUAGAGUCUUGUAGAAGGGGGUAGAAUUCCAGGUGUAGCGGUGGAAUGCGUAGAGAUCUGGAGGAAUACCGGUGGCGAAGGCGGCCCCCUGGACAAAGACUGACGCUCAGGUGCGAAAGCGUGGGGAGCAAACAGGAUUAGAUACCCCUGUAGUC
Molecule: ribosomal RNA, 465 nt
Filed under: uncultured bacterium
Lineage: Bacteria
Description: bacterial SSU rRNA
Rfam family: Bacterial small subunit ribosomal RNA
Source: RNAcentral